This 250-nucleotide ribosomal RNA is filed under the name uncultured bacterium. RNAcentral describes it as "partial 16S ribosomal RNA". It matches the Rfam family "Bacterial small subunit ribosomal RNA", at positions 524 to 773 of the family's 1533-position model. RNAcentral also lists the same sequence under 1 other name. The record is from RNAcentral.
UACGGAGGGUGCAAGCGUUAAUCGGAAUUACUGGGCGUAAAGCGUGCGUAGGCGGCUUAUUAAGUCGGAUGUGAAAUCCCCGAGCUUAACUUGGGAAUUGCAUUCGAUACUGGUGAGCUAGAGUAUGGGAGAGGAUGGUAGAAUUCCAGGUGUAGCGGUGAAAUGCGUAGAGAUCUGGAGGAAUACCGAUGGCGAAGGCAGCCAUCUGGCCUAAUACUGACGCUGAGGUACGAAAGCAUGGGGAGCAAAC